Pan troglodytes (chimpanzee) is the source of this 1105-nucleotide long non-coding RNA. NCBI's taxonomy places the organism in Eukaryota, Metazoa, Chordata, Mammalia, Primates, Hominidae. The record is from Ensembl.
AACGCCAUAAGUGAACUUCACACCUCAAAUUUACCAGCCGCGCUAUCCCUUAGGCCCUUAUUUUAUACGACUAUAAUUUUUUGAAAAAUACGUUAAAAGCCCUAUACCUUUUUCCUUCAUCCGUUAAGGCUUAAACUCUGAGACAAUGGUGAGGGGCCAAGGACAGAGUGAAAUCUGAGGAAAGAGGUGGGGCGGAAGGUUAAGAAGACUUUGGAGUAGGACAAAAGAAAGAACUAGAAGGUUGGCUGGGUGACGAAACCUUUAGGUGCCAGGUUAGACUGGGUGCAGGCGAACGACCCAAGGUGGGAGCUGAGGCGCGUAACCUCUUGCCCUCCAGCCCCCCAACGCCCCCAAGCGACUGGAACCCGUUCUAAUCGCCGCUCCCCGCGGCAGCCAUUUUGGAGUUGCACCAGCCCCGCCCCUCGGAGGCACCCGGCCCCGCCCCCUCGGUCCAGGAGCAGAAACAGGAAAUGGGAUUGCAAACCUAGUAGCUGCGCGUGCCGGCUAUUCAGGACUAGCGCAGGACUCUGGGCGACCUCACAUCCCACUCGUGCUGCUGCCCCGGGCACUCGCCUCCCGCGAAAAGUCGUGGGACCAUGUCGAAUAUGGUAGUUAUGUUGGGGAAAUAACUUUUUGAAUAGCCUUAUCCUUAAUGGCUCUUUUCAGAGCCAUUAUUUUACUUGAAGUUUGCUGCAAAAGAACUUAAUAGGAAUGCCAAGAAAUGUGAUAAAGAAGAAAAGGCUGAAAAGGCCAAGAUUAAAAGGCUAUUCAGAAAGGCAAUAAGGAAGCUGCAAGAAUACAUGCUGAAAAUGCAAUCCACCAGAAAAAUCAAGCAAUUGAUUUCUUAAGAAUGAGUGCUAGAGUUGGUGCUGUGGCAGUCAGAGUUCAAAAUGCAGUAACAAUGGGCAGGACUUCUGCCUUGAUGAACAAAUUCAAACACCAGUUUGAAACACUGGAUAUUCAAACACAACAAAUGGAAGAUAAAAUGAGUAGCUCUACAACCCUAAUAACACCACAAGUAAGUAUAGCUUCUCUACUUAGAAUAACUUUUAAAAAUUAUCUCACUUCAAAUUAUAAUGGUAUUGUGAGCCUAAAUGAUCUCUAG